This 118-nucleotide ribosomal RNA is filed under the name Propithecus coquereli (Coquerel's sifaka). Lineage: Eukaryota; Metazoa; Chordata; Mammalia; Primates; Indriidae. The record is from RNAcentral.
GUCUACAGCCAUACCACCCUGAACGCGCCCGAUCUCGUCUGAUCUCGGAAGCUAAACAGGGUCGGGCCUGGUUAGUACUUGGAUGGGAGAUUCAGAGAGGACAGGGAGACUGCAAACA